GGAGGUUUGACUAAAGUGGUAGAGUAUCAGCUUUGCAAUCUCAAAAUCCUGAGUUCAAAUCUCAGUACAACCC
Molecule: transfer RNA, 73 nt
Filed under: Dipodomys ordii (Ord's kangaroo rat)
Lineage: Eukaryota; Metazoa; Chordata; Mammalia; Rodentia; Heteromyidae
Rfam family: tRNA
About the family: Transfer RNA (tRNA) molecules are approximately 80 nucleotides in length.
Source: Rfam by way of RNAcentral